This 385-nucleotide ribosomal RNA is filed under the name uncultured microorganism. RNAcentral describes it as "bacterial SSU rRNA". It matches the Rfam family "Bacterial small subunit ribosomal RNA", at positions 9 to 392 of the family's 1533-position model. The record is from RNAcentral.
GAGUUUGAUCGUGGCUCAGGAUGAACGUUAGCGGCGUGCCUAACACAUGCAAGUCGAACGAACAGCCAGAAUCUUAGGAAUCUGGCGGGUUAGUGGCGCACGGGUGAGUAACACGUAGGUGACCUGCCCCGAAGUGGGGGGACAACCACUGGAAACAGUGGCUAAUACCGCAUGUGCUUAGCCAUUCGGUUGGUUAAGUAAAGCUGAGGCGCUUCGGGAGGGGCCUGCGGUCGAUUAGCUAGUUGGGGAGGUAAUGGCUCACCAAGGCGAUGAUCGAUAGGGGGCGUGAGAGCGUGACCCCCACACUGGGACUGAGACACGGCCCAGACUCCUACGGGAGGCAGCAGUGAGGAAUAUUGCACAAUGGGCGCAAGCCUGAUGCAGC